Long non-coding RNA from Oncorhynchus tshawytscha (Chinook salmon), 952 nucleotides. RefSeq lists it as uncharacterized. The transcript has 2 exons. Lineage: Eukaryota; Metazoa; Chordata; Actinopteri; Salmoniformes; Salmonidae. The record is from RefSeq and is a predicted model, not a curated record.
CCAAUGUUUGUCUAUGGAGAUUGCAUGGCAGUGUGCUCGGUUUUAUAUACCUGUCAGCAACGGAUUUAGCUGAAAUAGCUGAAUUCAAUCAUUUGAAGGGGUGUCCACAUACUUUUGUAUAUUUGGUCCAGUUGAAUGAUUUCUAUUAUCUAGGAUUUCUGGGUCAUAUUCAUUAGUGCACACUGUAGCAAAACCUUUUGCCACGGAUAACAAAAACGAGCCUAUCUUAUUGGACAACCUUAGCUUCUACCUACCUACCUCCCUUGUACAAUUUGAAAGUAAUGAUCUAUUAUUAUAAUAUGGACAGACUGCUCUCUACUCUUAUCAAAAUACUCUUUUGUUUUAUGCGUUCUUAUGCUCUGUGACCCCUGACCCCACCAAAACAAAUGCCUAAACUCUUUGUCGGUGCAGUGAGGUACUAGUCACACCAAAAUGAACUUUGUCUGUGCAGUGAGGUACUAGUCACACCAAAAGGAACUGGGGGGGGGGGUUAGGACAUGUUAUUGAUAUACAGUACCAGUCAACAGUUUGGACACACCUACUCAUUCCAGGGUUUUUCUUUAUUUGUACUAUGGUCUACAUUGUAGAAUAAUAGUGAAGACAUCAAAACUAUGAGGUAACACAUAUGGAAUCAUGUAGUAGCCAAAAAACGUAUUCCCUCCAUCCCUGUUUAAGGUAGAAGGGGAGAGCGAGGGCUGAAUGCCAAAUCACUCCCUUUCCCUCAGCCCUCCAUUUGCACGUUCACGCUCGCCUCUGACAUUUGCACAAGUGUCCCAAAGCUGAGGGAGUGAAAAUUAUCGAGGGUGUAGGGGCUCAUUGGACCUCAGAUCGCCACUUUGACAAAGCCAGCUAGGAUUAAGAGCAAAGUGAUAUCCCAACAUGCACUGCAAUAUCUUUGUGCAAUUUCAAUAAAUAAAAAAAUGGAGAGGCAUGCAUAAUUAUAUGCCACGUG